Long non-coding RNA from Homo sapiens (human), 872 nucleotides. RefSeq lists it as uncharacterized. The transcript is spliced from 3 exons. The record is from RefSeq and is a predicted model, not a curated record. Lineage: Eukaryota; Metazoa; Chordata; Mammalia; Primates; Hominidae.
CUCAGCACUAACUGGUCAUGCCCUCUGCCUGUUUGUCUCAGUCACCAGCAGAAGCUCAGGACUCCCAAAUUGCCUGCCAUCACCAGGAUUCCUCCCUUCCCCAUAGGUCUGCACAAUCCCCAAUGGGACUCCAUCUUCCAUCCUUCUCCAGCACCCUAAACUCCCCACAAGCCCUCAAGACUCAAGGCUGCACAUCGAAAAAAUGUGCUGUAUCAACCAACUCUUCUCACAAAGCCACCUCCACCUUCUUGUCCUAAGUGAAACCUGAGUUCCGCGUAGUCCUCUCAUGGUCUGGCCAUUUUCUUCUUGCCCAUGCCUUUGUACUCAUUGGGCCAAGGAAUGGGCUAGGCAUCCAUUACACCAACCACUGCUUCUCUUCAUUGCAAAUCCCCAGGUCUUCAGGGACAAUAACAUGCAUGGAGCUGCCAUCUAUGACAACAGUGCCUUCCUUCUUCUGGAUAUCUCCUGAAGGACCUGCCUAAGGCUGUCUUACAGUUAACUUUUUAUGCACCGUGUGUCUCAAGAUUGUGGCUAAGAGCCAUAGCCCUGGAGGAUGUACAGAAGCAUUGCUGUGGCUUAUGACCCAUGGCCACUGUUGGGUCAGGAAGGACAUUGCUUUAAGAGCAGGCCCUACACCUAUGCCAUUUGGCUGGUUGAAUAGAUGAGGGAAAAAUCUGAAAAGGGUAGAUAGCAACACCAAGGCCAGAAGUCUCCUGGGUAUUGUGCUGAUUGGACCACGUACAAGUUCCUCCCUCAUCCUGGCUUCUGUGUGAAGACAUGGAGCAAAAGACUCAGUUGAGUGAAUAUGCUCAAGCAGAGUAUUUCUCAUGGCUUCUGAAACUGAGAUCUGAGAGGUACAAGCACUGCUGUAC